This 253-nucleotide ribosomal RNA is filed under the name uncultured bacterium. RNAcentral describes it as "partial 16S ribosomal RNA". It matches the Rfam family "Bacterial small subunit ribosomal RNA", at positions 524 to 776 of the family's 1533-position model. The record is from RNAcentral.
UACGGAGGAUGCAAGCGUUAUCCGGAUUCAUUGGGUUUAAAGGGUGCGUAGGCGGCUUCUUAAGUCAGCGGUGAAACUCACGGGCUCAACCCGUGACCUGCCGUUGAUACUGGGGGGCUUGAAUACGGAUGAAGCGGGAGGAAUGUAUGGUGUAGCGGUGAAAUGCAUAGAUAUCAUACAGAAGGCCUAAUGCGAAGGCAUCCCGCUAAUCCGUCAUUGACGCUGAGGCACGAAAGCGUGGGGAUCAAACAGG